Molecule: long non-coding RNA, 987 nt
Organism: Helianthus annuus (common sunflower)
Lineage: Eukaryota; Viridiplantae; Streptophyta; Magnoliopsida; Asterales; Asteraceae
Exons: 2
Source: RefSeq, a predicted model, not a curated record
CUCCAUUCUCUCUCUCUCUCUUCACACGCACACACACACUUCACUUAGUGGAACCAAACUCUUCACUUUCAUGACAGAUUCAACUAAAUACAUACCCAUAAACGGCAGAACUUUGAAUUCCUCCGUUUCCGAAUCUCAUCCCCUGUAUCUUGACCCACCAAAUGUGGUUCAAGAUUCCCUAAUUGGUCGAACCAGAGUUCAAUUGGGUCAAACCGAACUACAAUCGGGUCUCCACUGUCUCUGAUUGGGUUGAACCAGAGUGCAAUUUGGUCUCCAAUGACUGAAAUUGGGUCGAAACGAGACUGGGAUUGGGGCUCCAUCGUCUCAAUUUGGGUCGAAUCAGCUGAAUAAAGAAGUACCCAAGUUAGAAACAAAGUCUAAUAAUAAGGUGAAACCGCGUGAAGAAUUGAAUAAACCGGUGCCGACAUCUUUGGUGAAUAAUACUGGAAGUGGGUCUACUCAAAGAGUAGAAGAAAGCAAAGGGGAUAAUGUGGAAAAGAAACCAAUGCCGCAUGAUAUAGAUCUGAAGCUGAAGCAAAAAAUUGUGAUAAGAGUUUGUUGCAUAUGUUGAAAUACAAAGAAAAAAGAAGAAGGAUAAUUGAUUGAGAAAAAAGACUAUUAGUGACGGAAGCUUUGUUGUUAAGGAGGGAGUGAGGGUUUUGGCUGUGAGAAUAUUAUGAAAUCAAAAACUUGCAGACUAUGGUUCCGUGUAAAGUUCGGGGGAACAUACAAGAAUUCUCGAGUGCAUCCACACCCCCUUUCAUUCGUUCAAGGGAUUGCAAGCGAUGGUGAAUGUCACAAGUGUGGUUACAUGCUCCAAUACAACAUGAUCUUUAAAUGUUCUUGUAUGUUUGUAGUUCAUAAAAGUUGUUGUGAAAGUCUGAGUGCUGACUUUAAAUCAUUGAAGAAGAAUGAAUGUGUAAGUGUAAGGGCUGAGAGGGAAAUUACCAUUUUAUCCUCAUGUGCAUUGCACAUGACGGUUUUUAA